RNAcentral lists this transfer RNA (90 nucleotides) under Pasteurella canis. RNAcentral describes it as "tRNA-Ser(gga)". It matches the Rfam family "tRNA". Rfam says of the family: Transfer RNA (tRNA) molecules are approximately 80 nucleotides in length. Their secondary structure includes four short double-helical elements and three loops (D, anti-codon, and T loops). The record is from RNAcentral. Lineage: Bacteria; Pseudomonadati; Pseudomonadota; Gammaproteobacteria; Pasteurellales; Pasteurellaceae. RNAcentral also lists the same sequence under 6 other names.
GGUGAGAUGUCCGAGUGGUUGAAGGAGCACGCCUGGAAAGCGUGUAUGUGCGAAAGUGCAUCGAGGGUUCGAAUCCCUCUCUCACCGCCA